This 92-nucleotide small RNA is filed under the name Salmonella enterica. RNAcentral describes it as "partial RtT sRNA". It matches the Rfam family "RtT RNA", at positions 1 to 90 of the family's 130-position model. Rfam says of the family: This family represents a bacterial cis-regulatory element known as RtT RNA. The exact function of RtT is unknown although it is thought that it may be involved in changing the cellular response in relation to amino acid starvation. The record is from RNAcentral. RNAcentral also lists the same sequence under 1 other name. Lineage: Bacteria; Pseudomonadati; Pseudomonadota; Gammaproteobacteria; Enterobacterales; Enterobacteriaceae.
AUAUCUCUCUGUACGGGAAGGAUGAGAAGCUUCGACUAAGGUUCGAUUCGAGCGAAAGCGAGAAAGCGUUGCCGCAGGCAACGACCCGAAGG